RNAcentral lists this ribosomal RNA (497 nucleotides) under uncultured bacterium. RNAcentral describes it as "partial 16S ribosomal RNA". It matches the Rfam family "Bacterial small subunit ribosomal RNA", at positions 28 to 507 of the family's 1533-position model. The record is from RNAcentral.
GAUGAACGCUGGCGGCGUGCCUAAUACAUGCAAGUCGAGCGAACAGACGAGAAGCUUGCUCCUCUGACGUUAGCGGCGGACGGGUGAGUAACACGUGGAUAACCUACCUAUAAGACUGGGAUAACUUCGGGAAACCGGAGCUAAUACCGGAUAAUAUUUUGAACCGCAUGGUUCAAAAGUGAAAGACGGUCUUGCUGUCACUUAUAGAUGGAUCCGCGCUGCAUUAGCUAGUUGGUAAGGUAACGGCUUACCAAGGCAACGAUGCAUAGCCGACCUGAGAGGGUGAUCGGCCACACUGGAACUGAGACACGGUCCAGACUCCUACGGGAGGCAGCAGUAGGGAAUCUUCCGCAAUGGGCGAAAGCCUGACGGAGCAACGCCGCGUGAGUGAUGAAGGUCUUCGGAUCGUAAAACUCUGUUAUUAGGGAAGAACAUAUGUGUAAGUAACUGUGCACAUCUUGACGGUACCUAAUCAGAAAGCCACGGCUAACUACGUG